CCUACGGGUGGCAGCAGUGAGGAAUAUUGGUCAAUGGGCGCGAGCCUGAACCAGCCAAGUCGCGUGAGGGAAGACGGUCCUAUGGAUUGUAAACCUCUUUUGUCGGGGAGCAAAAUACGCCACGUGUGGCGUUCUGUGAGUACCCGACGAAAAAGCAUCGGCUAACUCCGUGCCAGCAGCCGCGGUAAUACGGAGGAUGCGAGCGUUAUCCGGAUUUAUUGGGUUUAAAGGGCGCGUAGGCGGAGUGGUAAGUCAGGGGGGAAAUUGGCGGGCUCAACCUCUUCGGGGCGGUUGAAACUGGUAGUCUUGAGUAAGGGAGAGGUAGGCGGAAUGCGUGGUGUAGCGGUGAAAUGCGUAGAUAUCACGAAGAACUCCGAUUGCGAAGGCAGCAUACCGGAGAGCAACUGACGCUGAGGCACGAAAGUGUGGGUAUCGAACAGGAUUAGAUACCCCUGUAGUC
RNAcentral lists this ribosomal RNA (460 nucleotides) under uncultured bacterium. RNAcentral describes it as "partial 16S ribosomal RNA". It matches the Rfam family "Bacterial small subunit ribosomal RNA", at positions 338 to 795 of the family's 1533-position model. The record is from RNAcentral.